RNAcentral lists this long non-coding RNA (272 nucleotides) under Gossypium raimondii (Peruvian cotton). Its description in RNAcentral is "long non-coding RNA (GRAI_LNC002797)". Lineage: Eukaryota; Viridiplantae; Streptophyta; Magnoliopsida; Malvales; Malvaceae. The record is from RNAcentral.
CUUAUUCAAUAUGCACAACUAAUGGCUUAUUACCUAAUUUAAUCCAAGCACCAUGCAAUUACACAAAAUAAACAACGAAAAAUGAAAAAUAUUUUUGGUAUUUUUGAAAAAGAAAUUGAAAAUGGCAUAAAAAUUAAAAUAAACACACAAAAAUUCAUAAAAACAAGAAAAACAAAACAAAUAAAACUAUGUACAUAUAAAAAUUAAAAUAAACACACAAAAAUUCAUAAAAACAAGAAAAACAAAACAAAUAAAACUAUGUACAUCCCCCC